RNAcentral lists this unclassified non-coding RNA (2618 nucleotides) under Hevea brasiliensis (rubber tree). The record is from RNAcentral. Lineage: Eukaryota; Viridiplantae; Streptophyta; Magnoliopsida; Malpighiales; Euphorbiaceae.
AGAGAGAGAGAGAGAGACAGACAGCAAUGGUAGAAUACUCAACCUUUUAGGAUUUGUCUUCGUUUCCUCUUAGAGAUUGAUAAAAGUAUUAAUCUCCGUGUACCUGUUCUUAUGUUAGCUUUCUGGGUAUUCUCCAUUUCCCUUCAAAAUCACCUAGUUUCAUUGUCCAUUUCAACAAAUACCAUUUCACUCUUUAGUUGUUGACAUGUGAAAGUCUUAGUUUUGUGUCGGAUUUCGAGGUACAUUGAAGUUCUUUUUUCUUCUUUUUCUGGAUUUUAGUUCUUCCAAGUUAUGGCUAUGGGGGACGACAACAUCAAGCUUUGCACUAUCUUCUUCUUGUUUUUUGUCAAAUUGUCUUACAGUGUUACAGAUCCCAAUGACCUUAAGGUACUGAUGGCUUUCAAGAAUGGAUUGGAUAAUCCUGAGCUUCUUAAAUGGCCGGCUAACGGUAAUGAUCCAUGUGGUCCUCCUUCAUGGCCUCAUGUGUUCUGUUCUAAUGGUCGAAUCACUCAGAUUCAGGUGCAAAAAUUGGGUCUUAAGGGAUCACUCCCUCAAAACUUCAACCAGCUUUCAAAGCUCUAUAAUAUAGGCCUCCAAAACAACCACUUCAAUGGCCAUCUGCCCACCUUUAAAGGAUUAUCUGAAUUGCAAUUUGCAUUUUUGGAUUUCAAUGAAUUUGAUACAAUCCCAUCAGAUUUCUUUGAUGGGCUCAGUAGUAUACGUGUUUUGGCGUUGGAUGAAAAUCCUUUCAAUCAGAGUACCGGAUGGUCUCUUCCUAGUGAGUUGGCAAAUUCUGUUCAAUUGACAAAUCUUUCUUGUUCAGGAUGCAAUUUAGUUGGUCCACUGCCGGAUUUUCUGGGCAAUUUGUCGUCUCUAAAUGCUUUAAGACUUUCAUAUAAUAGACUAUCAGGUCAAAUUCCAGCGAGUUUUGGGCAAUCUUUGAUGACGGUUUUGUGGUUGAAUAAUCAAGAAAGAAAUGGCAUGAGUGGUUCAAUCGAUGUGAUUGCAAAAAUGACAUCGUUGAGGCAGCUAUGGCUUCAAGGAAAUUCGUUCACUGGAACAAUCCCGGAGAAUAUUGGAGGUCUUUCAUUGUUGAAAGACCUUAAUCUUAAUGGAAAUCAACUUGUUGGUUUUGUUCCUCAGGGCUUGGCUGAUAUGGUGCUGGAUAAUUUGGACUUGAACAAUAAUCAUCUAAUGGGUCCAAUACCAACGUUUAAGGCUGGUAAGAUUUCCUAUGAUUCCAACUCUUUUUGCCACUCCAAACCUGGUGUUUUAUGUGCCCCUCAAGUUAAUGCACUUCUGGAUUUUCUUGGUGGGUUGGAUUAUCCAUUAAGUCUGGUUUCUCAAUGGUCUGGUAAUGAUCCCUGUCAAGGGCCAUGGUUGGGAUUGAAUUGUGAUUUAAAGUCAAAGGUCUAUGUUAUAAAUUUGCCUAGACAUAAUCUUACUGGUACUCUUAGUCCUUCCAUUGCAAAAUUAGAUUCACUGGUUCAAAUUAAUCUCGGAAAAAACCAUAUCAACGGUACAAUUCCUAGCAACUGGACCAAGUUGAACUCUUUGAAAUUGUUAGAUGUUAGUGGAAACAAUCUUAGUCCUCCUUUUCCCAAAUUUCAGAAAAGUGUGAAGCUCAUUAUCGUUGGAAAUCCACUUUUAGUUAGUAAUCAGAGUCAGCAAACCCCUUCCCCUACUAGUAGCCCACCCUUUGGGAUUUCACUUCCUCCAUCAAACAACCGAUCUGGUAGCGCACAACCAUCAGCAUCCACUACUCCACCUCCUCCAACCAAGAGCUCAAACACUAAUUCAUCUGGUUUCAUCCUGUCUUCAUACCAAUCCAACAAUUCCAAAAGAACAAAACUACUAAUUGCAGGUGGAAUUACAGCUGGUUCAUUAUUGGUUCUUGUGGUGAUAGCUUUGUCCAUAUAUUACCUCUUCAAGAAGAGAAAAGAAACCUCAGAGCUUCCUAGUUCCAUUGUGGUUCACCCUAGAGAUCCAUCUGAUCCAGAAAAUAUAAUUAAGAUUGCAGUUUCAAACAACACCAUUGAGAGCCUAUCCACGCAAACUGCCACUAGUUCUGGAAGUAAUGCUACCAGUGUGGUGGAGAAUUCUCGUGUACUUGAGGCUGGAAACCUGAUCAUAUCUGUUCAAGUUCUUCGCAAGGUGACCAAAGGUUUUGCACCAGAAAAUAAGCUUGGGCAUGGUGGGUUUGGCACUGUCUACAAGGGUGAAUUGGAAGAUGGAACAAAAAUAGCUGUUAAGAGAAUGGAAGCUGGGGUUAUAGGCAGUAAAGCUUUGGAUGAAUUUCAGGCUGAAAUUGCUGUUCUUUCAAAGGUCCGGCACCGACAUCUGGUUUCUCUGUUGGGGUACUCUAUUGAAGGCAAUGAAAGGCUUCUUGUCUAUGAGUAUAUGUCUCAGGGUGCCCUGAGCAGACAUCUUUUCCAAUGGAAAAUCCUGAAUUUGGAGCCUCUGUCUUGGACAAGAAGGCUGAGCAUUGCACUUGAUGUAGCCAGAGGGGUGGAGUAUCUUCAUAGUAUGACUCGGGAAACCUUUAUUCAUCGAGAUCUCAAAUCUUCCAACAUUCUUCUAGAUGAUGAUUUUCAUGCCAAGGUUUCAGAUUUUGGAUU